RNAcentral lists this small RNA (27 nucleotides) under Bombyx mori (domestic silkworm). Its description in RNAcentral is "ovarian small RNA-26274". Lineage: Eukaryota; Metazoa; Arthropoda; Insecta; Lepidoptera; Bombycidae. The record is from RNAcentral.
UCAUGUAGUUUCUUAGACAGGCGCAAA